UGUGACCCUUUCAGCAUGCAUCCUGA
RNAcentral lists this unclassified non-coding RNA (26 nucleotides) under Mus musculus (house mouse). RNAcentral's name for it is "oocyte_clustered_small_RNA8994". The record is from RNAcentral. Lineage: Eukaryota; Metazoa; Chordata; Mammalia; Rodentia; Muridae.